This 497-nucleotide ribosomal RNA is filed under the name uncultured bacterium. RNAcentral describes it as "partial 16S ribosomal RNA". It matches the Rfam family "Bacterial small subunit ribosomal RNA", at positions 28 to 507 of the family's 1533-position model. The record is from RNAcentral.
GAUGAACGCUGGCGGCGUGCCUAAUACAUGCAAGUCGAGCGUACAGACGAGGAGCUUGCUCCUCUGACGUUAGCGGCGGACGGGUGAGUAACACGUGGAUAACCUACCUAUAAGACUGGGAUAACUUCGGGAAACCGGAGCUAAUACCGGAUAAUAUAUUGAACCGCAUGGUUCAAUAGUGAAAGACGGUUUUGCUGUCACUUAUAGAUGGAUCCGCGCCGCAUUAGCUAGUUGGUAAGGUAACGGCUUACCAAGGCAACGAUGCGUAGCCGACCUGAGAGGGUGAUCGGCCACACUGGAACUGAGACACGGUCCAGACUCCUACGGGAGGCAGCAGUAGGGAAUCUUCCGCAAUGGGCGGAAGCCUGACGGAGCAACGCCGCGUGAGUGAUGAAGGUCUUCGGAUCGUAAAACUCUGUUAUUAGGGAAGAACAAAUGUGUAAGUAACUAUGCACGUCUUGACGGUACCUAAUCAGAAAGCCACGGCUAACUACGUG